GUCUUGUUAGCUCAGCUGGUAGAGCACGUCACUUUUAAUGAUGUGGCCGUUGGUUCGAAUCCAACACAGGACACCA
This 76-nucleotide transfer RNA is filed under the name Campylobacterota bacterium. RNAcentral describes it as "Epsilonproteobacteria bacterium tRNA-Lys". It matches the Rfam family "tRNA". Rfam says of the family: Transfer RNA (tRNA) molecules are approximately 80 nucleotides in length. Lineage: Bacteria; Pseudomonadati; Campylobacterota. The record is from RNAcentral.